Molecule: ribosomal RNA, 1343 nt
Filed under: uncultured bacterium
Lineage: Bacteria
Description: 16S ribosomal RNA
Rfam family: Bacterial small subunit ribosomal RNA
Source: RNAcentral
GACGAACGCUGGCGGCGUGCUUAACACAUGCAAGUCGAACGGAAAGGCCCUGCUUUUGUGGGGUGCUCGAGUGGCGAACGGGUGAGUAACACGUGAGUAACCUGCCCUUGACUUUGGGAUAACUUCAGGAAACUGGGGCUAAUACCGGAUAGGAGCUCCUGCUGCAUGGUGGGGGUUGGAGAGUUUCGGCGGUUGGGGAUGGACUCGCGGCUUAUCAGCUUGUUGGUGGGGUAGUGGCUUACCAAGGCUUUGACGGGUAGCCGGCCUGAGAGGGUGACCGGCCACAUUGGGACUGAGAUACGGCCCAGACUCCUACGGGAGGCAGCAGUGGGGAAUAUUGCACAAUGGGCGGAAGCCUGAUGCAGCAACGCCGCGUGCGGGAUGACGGCCUUCGGGUUGUAAACCGCUUUCGCCUGUGACGAAGCGUGAGUGACGGUAAUGGGUAAAGAAGCACCGGCUAACUACGUGCCAGCAGCCGCGGUGAUACGUAGGGUGCGAGCGUUGUCCGGAUUUAUUGGGCGUAAAGGGCUCGUAGGUGGUUGAUCGCGUCGGAAGUGUAAUCUUGGGGCUUAACCCUGAGCGUGCUUUCGAUACGGGUUGACUUGAGGAAGGUAGGGGAGAAUGGAAUUCCUGGUGGAGCGGUGGAAUGCGCAGAUAUCAGGAGGAACACCAGUGGCGAAGGCGGUUCUCUGGGCCUUUCCUGACGCUGAGGAGCGAAAGCGUGGGGAGCGAACAGGCUUAGAUACCCUGGUAGUCCACGCUGUAAACGGUGGGUACUAGGUGUGGGGUCCAUUCCACGGGUUCCGUGCCGUAGCUAACGCUUUAAGUACCCCGCCUGGGGAGUACGGCCGCAAGGCUAAAACUCAAAGGAAUUGACGGGGCCCCGCACAAGCGGCGGAGCAUGCGGAUUAAUUCGAUGCAACGCGUAGAACCUUACCUGGGUUUGACAUGGAUCGGGAGUGCUCAGAGAUGGGUGUGCCUCUUUUGGGGUCGGUUCACAGGUGGUGCAUGCCUGUCGUCAGCUCGUGUCGUGAGAUGUUGGGUUAAGUCCCGCAACGAGCGCAACCCUUGUUCACUGUUGCCAGCACGUUAUGGUGGGGACUCAGUGGAGACCGCCGGGGUCAACUCGGAGGAAGGUGGGGAUGACGUCAAGUCAUCAUGCCCCUUAUGUCCAGGGCUUCACGCAUGCUACAAUGGCUGGUACAGAGAGUGGCGAGCCUGUGAGGGUGAGCGAAUCUCGGAAAGCCGGUCUCAGUUCGGAUUGGGGUCUGCAACUCGACCUCAUGAAGUCGGAGUCGCUAGUAAUCGCAGAUCAGCAACGCUGCGGUGAAUACGUUCCCGGG